RNAcentral lists this ribosomal RNA (815 nucleotides) under uncultured bacterium. RNAcentral's name for it is "bacterial SSU rRNA". It matches the Rfam family "Bacterial small subunit ribosomal RNA", at positions 8 to 871 of the family's 1533-position model. The record is from RNAcentral.
AGAGUUUGAUCCUGGCUCAGAACGAACGCUGGCGGCAGGCUUAACACAUGCAAGUCGAGCGCCCCGCAAGGGGAGCGGCAGACGGGUGAGUAACGCGUGGGAACGUACCCUCCGGUUCGGAAUAACUCAGGGAAACUUGAGCUAAUGCCGGAUACGGCUGAGAGGCGAAAGAUUUAUCGCCGGGGGGAUCGGCCCGCGUCCGAUUAGCUAGUUGGUGGGGUAACGGCUCACCAAGGCGACGAUCGGUAGCUGGUCUGAGAGGAUGAUCAGCCACAUUGGGACUGAGACACGGCCCAAACUCCUACGGGAGGCAGCAGUGGGGAAUAUUGGACAAUGGGCGCAAGCCUGAUCCAGCCAUGCCGCGUGAGUGAUGACGGCCUUAGGGUUGUAAAGCUCUUUCGCCAGGGACGAUAAUGACGGUACCUGGAUAAGAAGCCCCGGCUAACUUCGUGCCAGCAGCCGCGGUAAUACGAAGGGGGCUAGCGUUGUUCGGAAUUACUGGGCGUAAAGCGCGUGUAGGCGGGUCUUUAAGUCAGGGGUGAAAUGCCAAGGCUCAACCUUGGAACUGCCUUUGAUACUGGAGAUCUUGAGUCCGGGAGAGGUGAGUGGAACUGCGAGUGUAGAGGUGAAAUUCGUAGAUAUUCGCAAGAACACCAGUGGCGAAGGCGGCUCACUGGCCCGGAACUGACGCUGAGACGCGAAAGCGUGGGGAGCAAACAGGAUUAGAUACCCUGGUAGUCCACGCUGUAAACGAUGGAUGCUAGCCGUUGGGGAGCUUGCUCUUCAGUGGCGCCGCUAACGCAUUAAGCAUCCCG